This 385-nucleotide ribosomal RNA is filed under the name uncultured bacterium. RNAcentral describes it as "bacterial SSU rRNA". It matches the Rfam family "Bacterial small subunit ribosomal RNA", at positions 30 to 414 of the family's 1533-position model. The record is from RNAcentral.
AUUGAACGCUGGCGGCAUGCCUUACACAUGCAAGUCGAACGGCAGCACGGGAGCAAUCCUGGUGGCGAGUGGCGAACGGGUGAGUAAUGUAUCGGAACGUACCUUUCAGUGGGGGAUAACGUAGCGAAAGUUACGCUAAUACCGCAUAUUCUGUGAGCAGGAAAGCAGGGGAGUCGCAAGACCUUGCGCUGAUUGAGCGGCCGAUAUCAGAUUAGCUAGUUGGUGGGGUAAAGGCCUACCAAGGCUACGAUCUGUAGCGGGUCUGAGAGGAUGAUCCGCCACACUGGAACUGAGACACGGUCCAGACUCCUACGGGAGGCAGCAGUGGGGAAUUUUGGACAAUGGGCGCAAGCCUGAUCCAGCCAUGCCGCGUGAGUGAAGAAGG